RNAcentral lists this transfer RNA (72 nucleotides) under Bos taurus (domestic cattle). It matches the Rfam family "tRNA". Rfam says of the family: Transfer RNA (tRNA) molecules are approximately 80 nucleotides in length. Lineage: Eukaryota; Metazoa; Chordata; Mammalia; Artiodactyla; Bovidae. RNAcentral also lists the same sequence under 4 other names. The record is from Rfam by way of RNAcentral.
UCCCUUGUGGCUCAGCUGGUAAAGAAUCUGUCUACAAUGCAGGAGACCUGGGUUCGAUCCCUGGGUAGGGAA